AUGAACGCUGGCGGCGUGCCUAACACAUGCAAGUCGAACGGAGUCCAGCCUUUAAGACCUUCGGGUCAAAGAGGGGAAGACUGAGUGGCGGACGGGUGAGUAACACGUGGGCAACCUGGCUCAUAGAGGGGGAUAACAGAGAGAAAUUUCUGCUAAUACCGCAUAAGCACACACUGCCGCAUGGCAGAGGGUGAAAAGAGAAUCGCUAUGAGAUGGACCCGCGUCUGAUUAGCCAGUUGGCAGGGUAAGAGCCUACCAAAGCGACGAUCAGUAGCCGAUCUGAGAGGAUGAACGGCCACAUUGGGACUGAGACACGGCCCAAACUCCUACGGGAGGCAGCAGUGGGGGAUAUUGCACAACGGGGGGAACCCUGAUGCAGCGACGCCGCGUGAGUGAAGAAGUAUUUCGGUAUGUAAAGCUCUAUCAGCAGGGAAGAUAAUGACAGUACCUGAAGAAGAAGCCCCGGCUAACUACGUG
This 477-nucleotide ribosomal RNA is filed under the name uncultured bacterium. RNAcentral's name for it is "partial 16S ribosomal RNA". It matches the Rfam family "Bacterial small subunit ribosomal RNA", at positions 30 to 507 of the family's 1533-position model. The record is from RNAcentral.